RNAcentral lists this unclassified non-coding RNA (326 nucleotides) under soil metagenome. RNAcentral's name for it is "partial contains 5.8S ribosomal RNA, internal transcribed spacer 2, and large subunit ribosomal RNA". The stretch from base 1 to 120 matches the Rfam family "5.8S ribosomal RNA", at positions 35 to 154 of the family's 154-position model. The record is from RNAcentral.
GAUGAAGAACGUAGCGAAAUGCGAUAAGUAAUGUGAAUUGCAGAAUUCAGUGAAUCAUCGAAUCUUUGAACGCACAUUGCGCCCUCUGGUAUUCCGGGGGGCAUGCCUGUUCGAGCGUCAUUAUAACCACUCAAGCUCUCGCUUGGUAUUGGGGUUCGCGGUUCCGCGGCCCCUAAAAUCAGUGGCGGUGCCUGUCGGCUCUACGCGUAGUAAUACUCCUCGCGAUUGAGUCCGGUAGGUCUACUUGCCAGCAACCCCCAAUUUUUACAGGUUGACCUCGGAUCAGGUAGGGAUACCCGCUGAACUUAAGCAUAUCAAGCGGAGGA